RNAcentral lists this transfer RNA (91 nucleotides) under Candidatus Fermentithermobacillus carboniphilus. Its description in RNAcentral is "tRNA-Ser". It matches the Rfam family "tRNA". Rfam says of the family: Transfer RNA (tRNA) molecules are approximately 80 nucleotides in length. RNAcentral also lists the same sequence under 1 other name. The record is from RNAcentral. Lineage: Bacteria; Bacillati; Bacillota; Candidatus Fermentithermobacillia; Candidatus Fermentithermobacillales; Candidatus Fermentithermobacillaceae.
GGAGGGAUGUCCGAGCGGCUUAAGGAGCACGCCUGGAGAGCGUGUAGACGUGUAAUGCGUCUCGUGGGUUCAAAUCCCACUCCCUCCGCCA